Molecule: small nucleolar RNA, 76 nt
Organism: Hirundo rustica (Barn swallow)
Lineage: Eukaryota; Metazoa; Chordata; Aves; Passeriformes; Hirundinidae
Product: small nucleolar RNA SNORD26
Exons: 1
Source: RefSeq, a predicted model, not a curated record
CUGCGGGGAUGAUCGCGCUGAACUCUCUCUUUCUGAUGGGUCCGUGGAGAAGUUUCUGGACUUUUUUCUGAGUGGC